UACAGAGGUCCCAAGCGUUGUUCGGAUUUACUGGGCGUAAAGGGCGCGUAGGCGGCCAGCACAAGUCAGUUGUGAAAUCUCCGAGCUUAACUCGGAAAGGUCAACUGAUACUGUGCGGCUAGAGUGCGGAAGGGGCAACUGGAAUUCUUGGUGUAGCGGUGAAAUGCGUAGAUAUCAAGAGGAACACCUGCGGCGAAGGCGGGUUGCUGGGCCGACACUGACGCUGAGGCGCGAAAGCUAGGGGAGCGAACGGG
RNAcentral lists this ribosomal RNA (254 nucleotides) under uncultured bacterium. RNAcentral describes it as "partial 16S ribosomal RNA". It matches the Rfam family "Bacterial small subunit ribosomal RNA", at positions 524 to 776 of the family's 1533-position model. The record is from RNAcentral.